UACGUAGGGUGCGAGCGUUAAUCGGAUUUACUGGGCGUAAAGCGUGCGCAGGCGGCCCGUUAAGACAGGUGUGAAAUCCCUGGGCUCAACCUAGGAAUUGCGCUUGUGACUGGCGGGCUAGAGGACGGCAGAGGAGGGUGGAGCGGCCGGAGUAGCGGUGAAAUGCGUAGAUACCGGCCGAAAUCCCGAUGGCGAAGGCAACCCUCUGGGCCGGUCCUGACGCUGAGGCGCGAAAGCGUGGGGAGCGAACCGG
This 253-nucleotide ribosomal RNA is filed under the name uncultured microorganism. Its description in RNAcentral is "partial 16S ribosomal RNA". It matches the Rfam family "Bacterial small subunit ribosomal RNA", at positions 524 to 776 of the family's 1533-position model. The record is from RNAcentral.